RNAcentral lists this ribosomal RNA (402 nucleotides) under uncultured bacterium. RNAcentral describes it as "bacterial SSU rRNA". It matches the Rfam family "Bacterial small subunit ribosomal RNA", at positions 32 to 424 of the family's 1533-position model. The record is from RNAcentral.
AAUCAACGCUGGCGGCGUGCCUCAGACAUGCAAGUCGAACGAUUAAAGCUCUCUUCGGAGAGUGUAUAGAGUGGCGCACGGGUGAGUAACACGUAAGUAAUCUACCUUUGAGUGGAGAAUAACAGUCGGAAACGACUGCUAAUACCGCAUAAUGCAGCGGCAUCGCAAGAUGACAGUUGUUAAAGGAGCAAUCCGCUUAAAGAGGAGCUUGCGGCAGAUUAGCUAGUUGGUAAGGUAAUGGCUUACCAAGGCUACGAUCUGUAUCCGGUCUAAGAGGACGGUCGGACACACUGACACUGAAUAACGGGUCAGACUCCUACGGGAGGCAGCAGUCGGGAAUUUUGGGCAAUGGGCGAAAGCCUGACCCAGCAACGCCGCGUGAAGGAUGAAGUAUUUCGGUAU